GAUGAACGCUGGCGGCGUGCCUAAUACAUGCAAGUCGAGCGAACGGACGAGAAGCUUGCUUCUCUGAUGUUAGCGGCGGACGGGUGAGUAACACGUGGAUAACCUACCUAUAAGACUGGGAUAACUUCGGGAAACCGUAGCUAAUACCGGAUAAUAUUUUGAACCGCAUGGUUCAAAAGUGAAAGACGGUCUUGCUGUCACUUAUAGAUGGAUCCGCGCUGCAUUAGCUAGUUGGUAAGGUAACGGCUUACCAAGGCAACGAUGCAUAGCCGACCUGAGAGGGUGAUCGGCCACACUGGAACUGAGACACGGUCCAGACUCCUACGGGAGGCAGCAGUAGGGAAUCUUCCGCAAUGGGCGAAAGCCUGACGGAGCAAAGCCGCGUGAGUGAUGAAGGUCUUCGGAUCGUAAAACUCUGUUAUUAGGGAAGAACAUAUGUGUAAGUAACUGUGCACAUCUUGAGGGUACCUAAUCAGAAGACCACGGCUAACUACGUG
Molecule: ribosomal RNA, 497 nt
Filed under: uncultured bacterium
Lineage: Bacteria
Description: partial 16S ribosomal RNA
Rfam family: Bacterial small subunit ribosomal RNA
Source: RNAcentral